This 75-nucleotide transfer RNA is filed under the name Chrysiogenia bacterium. Its description in RNAcentral is "tRNA-Cys". It matches the Rfam family "tRNA". Rfam says of the family: Transfer RNA (tRNA) molecules are approximately 80 nucleotides in length. Their secondary structure includes four short double-helical elements and three loops (D, anti-codon, and T loops). The record is from RNAcentral. Lineage: Bacteria; Pseudomonadati; Chrysiogenota; Chrysiogenia.
GGCGGCGUACCCAAGUGGCUAAGGGAGCGGUCUGCAAAAUCGUGAUCGAGGGUUCGAUUCCCUCCGCCGCCUCCA